UACGAAGGGGGCUAGCGUUGCUCGGAAUCACUGGGCGUAAAGGGCGCGUAGGCGGCCAUUCAAGUCAGAGGUGAAAGCCCAAGGCUCAACCUUGGAACUGCCUUUGAUACUGUUUGGCUUGAGACCGGUAGAGGUAAGUGGAACUGCGAGUGUAGAGGUGAAAUUCGUAGAUAUUCGCAAGAACACCAGUGGCGAAGGCGGCUUACUGGACCGGUUCUGACGCUGAGGCGCGAAAGCGUGGGGAGCGAACAGG
RNAcentral lists this ribosomal RNA (253 nucleotides) under uncultured bacterium. RNAcentral's name for it is "partial 16S ribosomal RNA". It matches the Rfam family "Bacterial small subunit ribosomal RNA", at positions 524 to 776 of the family's 1533-position model. The record is from RNAcentral.